RNAcentral lists this ribosomal RNA (398 nucleotides) under uncultured bacterium. RNAcentral describes it as "bacterial SSU rRNA". It matches the Rfam family "Bacterial small subunit ribosomal RNA", at positions 358 to 773 of the family's 1533-position model. The record is from RNAcentral.
GGAAUUUUGGGCAAUGGGCGAAAGCCUGACCCAGCAACGCCGCGUGAAGGAUGAAGUAUUUCGGUAUGUAAAUUUCGAAAGAAUGGGAAGAAUAAAUGACGGUACCAUUUAUAAGGUCUGGCUAACUACGUGCAAGCAGCCGCGGAACUACGUAGGGAACAAGCGUUGUUCGGAUUUACUGGGCGUAAAGGGCGCGUAGGCGGCAUGUUAAGUCAGCUGUGAAAUCUCCGAGCUUAACUCGGAACGGUCAGCUGAUACUGAUGUGCUAGAGUGCAGAAGGGGCAAUCGGAAUUCUUGGUGUAGCGGUGAAAUGCGUAGAUAUCAAGAGGAACACCUGAGGUGAAGACGGGUUGCUGGGCUGACACUGACGCUGAGGCGCGAAAGCCAGGGGAGCAAAC